This 254-nucleotide ribosomal RNA is filed under the name uncultured bacterium. Its description in RNAcentral is "partial 16S ribosomal RNA". It matches the Rfam family "Bacterial small subunit ribosomal RNA", at positions 524 to 777 of the family's 1533-position model. The record is from RNAcentral.
UACGGAGGGUGCAAGCGUUAAUCGGAAUUACUGGGCGUAAAGCGCACGCAGGUGGCUGAGUCAGUCGAUUGUGAAAGCCCUGGGCUUAACCUGGGAAUUGCAGUCGAUACUACUCAGCUAGAGUAUGGGAGAGGGCAGUGGAAUUCCCGGUGUAGCGGUGAAAUGCGUAGAUAUCGGGAGGAACAUCAGUGGCGAAGGCGGCUGCCUGGCCCAAUACUGACACUCAGGUGCGACAGCGUGGGGAGCAAACAGGG